CGAAAGCCUGACGGAGCAACGCCGCGUGAGGGAUGGAGGCCUUUGGGCUGUAAACCUCUUUUCUCAAGGAAGAAGAUCUGACGGUACUUGAGGAAUAAGCCACGGCUAAUUCCGUGCCAGCAGCCGCGGUAAUACGGGAGUGGCAAGCGUUAUCCGGAAUUAUUGGGCGUAAAGCGUCCGCAGGCGGCCGUUUAAGUCUGUUGUUAAAUCGUGGAGCUCAACUCCAUCACGGCAAUGGAAACUGUUCGGCUUGAGUAUGGUAGGGGCAGAGGGAAUUUCCGGUGUAGCGGUGAAAUGCGUAGAUAUCGGGAAGAACACCAGUGGCGAAAGCGCUCUGCUGGGCCAUUACUGACGCUCAUGGACGAAAGCCAGGGGAGCGAAAGGGAUUAGAUACCCCUGUAGUCCUGGCCGUAAACGAUGAACACUAGAUGUUGGGGGAAUCGACCCCCUCGGUGUCGUAGCUAACGCGUUAAGUGUUCCGCCUGGGGAGUACGCACGCAAGUGUGAAACUCAAAGGAAUUGACGGGGGCCCGCACAAGCGGUGGAGUAUGUGGUUUAAUUCGAUGCAACGCGAAGAACCUUACCAAGGCUUGACAUCCUGCGAAUCUCUAAGAAAUUAGAGAGUGCCUUCGGGAACGCAGUGACAGGUGGUGCAUGGCUGUCGUCAGCUCGUGUCGUGAGAUGUUGGGUUAAGUCCCGCAACGAGCGCAACCCACGUUUUUAGUUGCCAGCAUUCAGUUGGGCACUCUAGAAAGACUGCCGGUGACAAACCGGAGGAAGGUGUGGACGACGUCAAGUCAUCAUGCCCCUUACGCUUUGGGCUACACACGUACUACAAUGCUGCGGACAAAGAGUAGCGAUCUUGCGAAAGUUAGCUAAUCUCAUAAACCGUGGCUCAGUUCAGAUCGUAGGCUGCAACUCGCCUACGUGAAGGAGGAAUCGCUAGUAAUCGCAGGUCAGCAUACUGCGGUGAAUACGUUCCCGGGCCUUGUACACACCGCCCGUCACACCAUGGAAGUUGGCCAUGCCCGAAGUCGUUACUCUAACCUUUUGGAAGAGGGCGCCGAAGGCAGGGCUAAUGACUGGGGUGAAGUCGUAACAAGGUAGCCGUAGCGGAAGCUGCGGCUGGAUCACCUCCUAA
This 1141-nucleotide ribosomal RNA is filed under the name Candidatus Synechococcus spongiarum. RNAcentral describes it as "bacterial SSU rRNA". It matches the Rfam family "Bacterial small subunit ribosomal RNA", at positions 376 to 1533 of the family's 1533-position model. Lineage: Bacteria; Bacillati; Cyanobacteriota; Cyanophyceae; Synechococcales; Synechococcaceae. The record is from RNAcentral.